UACGGGGGGGGCAAGCGUUGUUCGGAUUUACUGGGCGUAAAGGGCGCGUAGGCGGCCAGCACAAGUCAGUUGUGAAAUCUCCGAGCUUAACUCGGAAAGGUCAACUGUUACUGUGCGGCUAGAGUGCAGAAGGGGCAACUGGAAUUCUCGGUGUAGCGGUGAAAUGCGUAGAUAUCGAGAGGAACACCUGCGGCGAAGGCGGGUUGCUGGGCUGACACUGACGCUGAGGCGCGAAAGCUAGGGGAGCGAACGGG
This 254-nucleotide ribosomal RNA is filed under the name uncultured bacterium. RNAcentral describes it as "partial 16S ribosomal RNA". It matches the Rfam family "Bacterial small subunit ribosomal RNA", at positions 524 to 776 of the family's 1533-position model. The record is from RNAcentral.